Molecule: ribosomal RNA, 514 nt
Filed under: Cucudeta zabkai
Lineage: Eukaryota; Metazoa; Arthropoda; Arachnida; Araneae; Salticidae
Description: partial 16S ribosomal RNA
Rfam family: Bacterial large subunit ribosomal RNA (bases 124-418)
Source: RNAcentral
GUGCUAAGGUAGCAUAAUCAUUUGUCUUUUAAAUGAAGACUAGUACAAAAGAUUAAACAUUUUAAUAAUUAUAUAUAAACUAACAAUCAAAAUUAUUUUUAAUGUUAAAAAACAUUAAUUUAAUAGAAAGACGACAAGACCCUGUUGAACUUAACUAAAGUUAAACUGGGGCAGUAAAUUAAUUAUCAUUUUAAUAAAACUUUUUAUUAAAAAAUCCAAUAUAAUUGAUAAUAAGUUACCACAGGGAUAACAGCAUAAUAUUAAUUUAAAGUUCUUAUACAAAUAAAAGAUUAUGACCUCGAUGUUGAAUUAAUAAUCUAUUUUAUGUAAAAAUAAAAUAAGAAAGUCUGUUCGACUUUUAAACAAUUACAUGAUUUGAGUUCAGACCGGUACAAGCCAGGUCGGUUUCCAUCUUCUACUUAAUUUAUAUAGUACGAAAGGACCUAUAAAUAUAAUAUCAUUAUUAAUUUGGCAGAAUAUUGCAUUAGAAUUAGAAUCUAAAAACCCAAUAAUA